AUAUUCUCAGUAACGGCGAGUGAAGAGAAUACAGCCCAGCGCUGAAUCGUGCUGCUUGAAAGAGUGAUACGACAUGUAGCGUGAAACUGGCGGCUGUUGAUGUUGUCGAUGUGUGUAAGUCUUCUUGAGCGGGGCUCAGUCCCAGAGAUGGUGCUAGGCCCGUAUCGCGCAUGACAAGUACAGCAACGCCCGCUUGUGGAGAGUCAGGUUGUUUGGGAACACAAUCUAAAGCCGGUGGUACACUCCAUCGAAGGCUAAAUAUGACCACGAGUCCGAUAGCGAACAAGUACCGUGAGGGAAAAUUGAAAAGCACUUUGAAGAGAGAGCGAAAUAGUGCGUGAAACCGCUUAGAGGCAAGCAGAUGGAUUCUCGAAGGUGUGCAUAGGAUUUAUUUCCUAGUUCUCACGCCACCACUGUUGUUGACGUGCACCAUGCGCUGACAUUUGGACGCUUGAGAUUGGGACUUGUGCCUGCUUGAGACGCUCGGUGUUGGACGUGUUGAGUUGUUGUGGCAUGCAAUAACAGAGCAGAGCAUUUGUCGCCGCUGUAAAGCGCCGACUGUGGCCGCUUGCUGAUGCAUUGCUGUUGUGGCGAAGCGCAAGCUUCUACAUGCGGCAUGUGUUGCAAAUCGGCUAUUAGUACCGGCAAGACGACUUUAAGACUCGGUGGCGAGAGAUGAAAUUCCAUCUAUCCCCG
RNAcentral lists this ribosomal RNA (696 nucleotides) under Echiniscus merokensis. RNAcentral's name for it is "partial large subunit ribosomal RNA". It matches the Rfam family "Eukaryotic large subunit ribosomal RNA", at positions 73 to 652 of the family's 3401-position model. The record is from RNAcentral. Lineage: Eukaryota; Metazoa; Tardigrada; Heterotardigrada; Echiniscoidea; Echiniscidae.